GCUCGCGAAGUGUAGUGGUGAUCAUUGUGGACUUUGAACCCCCCAACCCGAGGUCGAGGCUCGGCGCGAGCU
Pleodorina starrii is the source of this 72-nucleotide non-coding RNA. NCBI's taxonomy places the organism in Eukaryota, Viridiplantae, Chlorophyta, Chlorophyceae, Chlamydomonadales, Volvocaceae. The record is from the annotation of a GenBank genome assembly.